GACGAACGCUGGCGGCGUGCUUAACACAUGCAAGUCGAACGAUGAAAGAGAAUCCGAUCUCUUCGGAGUGAAGAAUCUCUGGAUUAGUGGCGGACGGGUGAGUAACGCGUGAGCAAUCUGCCUUACACAAAGGGAUAGCCUCGGGAAACCGGGAUUAAUACCAUAUGAUAUCUAUUAACCGCAUGGUUUAUAGAUUAAAGAAUUUCGGUGUAAGAUGAGCUCGCGUCCCAUUAAUUAGUUGGUGAGGGUAACGGCCCACCAAGAUAGCGAUGGGUAGCCGAUCUAAGAGGAUGACCGGCCACAUUGGAACUGAGAAACGGUCCAAACUCCUACGGGAGGCAGCAGUGGGGAAUAUUGCACAAUGGGGGAAACCCUGAUGCAGCGACGCCGCGUGAACGAAGAAGGCUUUCGAGUCGUAAAGUUCUUUUAUAUGGGAAGAUAAUGACGGUACCAUAAGAAAAAGCCCCGGCUAACUACGUGCCAGCAGCCGCGGUAA
RNAcentral lists this ribosomal RNA (496 nucleotides) under uncultured Eubacteriales bacterium. RNAcentral describes it as "bacterial SSU rRNA". It matches the Rfam family "Bacterial small subunit ribosomal RNA", at positions 28 to 523 of the family's 1533-position model. Lineage: Bacteria; Bacillati; Bacillota; Clostridia; Eubacteriales. The record is from RNAcentral.